UUUUAUUCACACUUUUGCCUUCAGAUAUCUCUCUAUUCUCAACUCCAGACUGCUCUGCAUGCUCAGCACAAAAAUAUCAGUCCGGAAGCUGGAAGUCCAUAGGUUUUAUCUCCCCCGAUUUGCUCGAUGAUGUCUCCCCCGAUCUGAUACAAUUGAUGCACCUGGAGGAUUCCUCUUUCAAUGGUGCUCUGUCUUUGCAUCUGAGUAUAUUUGUACCGUAAAAAAGUUAAGGUCUGGGUCUUCCGAUUCCGGCGAGCUGUUUCCGUAAGAACGUCGGCGCACCGUGUACCGCGCCGUCAACCACAGUCCUCCCUGUUUUAUUUCCGAAUGGGAGGUCGGAGCUUUAGGAGUGUGAAGAAGAGUAUACAGAGAUUGGAGGAAGCAGCUGUUUCCUGUAGGGGACUCGAAAGACUUGAGAUACUGAGAAGGUGGGUGCUGCUGCUUAACCCGAAAGACUCUAGAUACUGAGAAGGUGGGUGCUGCUGCUUAAAGAGGUGGAGAGGCUGAAGCUUUCUCAGGGUUAUGUGGAAGAGAAUGAAAGUGCGCCGAAACAACCUGUUUGCUGCCGAUGGCACGAAUGAGAUUCGAAAAAGAAUAUCUCUGUGAACCAAUGGAUUUCCGCGAAGUUUUUCUUCAAAAUCAGGCUUUGGAGGGCAUAACACUAUCUAUGGCAUUGCCACACAUGCACUUGGUUUGUGAGGUAUAUGGAGUUUUGCGUUGGUGGAUUCGAGAGCAUAGAGCUUUCAGUGCUUCUUUGCAACUACGAGGUCAUCUGAAAACUUAACAAGGAAUGGAGAAACAAGGGCCAUGCCACUGAUGUUCUUUCGCUGUCGCAGCAUGUCCCUAAUCUUAAGCUUCCCAUUAUACUAGCUCAUUACUUUUUUAGUUUUUUGGUUCCGUUUCUUUUUGCAUAAUUUUAAUCACUGAACAUUUGUAUUAUAUGCAGCUUAUGUUGGGUGACAUUGUGAUUUCUGUUGAGACAGCGACAAGGCAAGCAGAGGAAAGAGGCCACAAGCUUAUUGAUGAGAUACGUGUUCUCAUGAUACAUGAGUUGUUCAUUUACUAGGAUUUGAUCAUGAGAUUAGUGAAGAGGCCGAAGUGGAAAUGGAGAAGGAGGAGCUUCUUUUAAAGAGUCUUGGGUGGAAGGGGAAAUGAUUAAUUCAAAGUGCACAUGAUGCCGAAACUCACAAAUUCCCAUGAGGGAAAACCAGAUGGCAGGAAGAGAGAAAGCAGCCUGUGAUUUUAUAAACUAAAGUUCAGAUGCAUUUUCUGUGGUAUGGAUGGAAUUCUCACGUUGCUUUGAUAAAAUUAUACAUGGCCAUGAUAAGGAUCUACAGUUCCAAUGCUUUUGAUGCAUAAAGUAAGGAGGAAGCUACUCCUCUGGAGCUUCUUUGGCAUGAGAGAGAAAGUGGCAGCAGCCGCAGUGGGGAAGGAAGAAGGACUAUUACUGUUUCUGUGAUCAUUUCUGUCCUUCGAAGCUCUAGGGUUUGUUUUUGGAUCGGUUAGCUGUUGAGGAGCCCGUGCUUUUCCUCAAACGGAUGUCGUCUUACUUGAUGAACGGCGGUACGUCCGAAGUCCACCCUUUGUUGUCGUUGGACCAUGAGGUGGAGCUGGCGGUGAUCAUCUAUUAGAAAGCUCGCGAUGUUCCGUAAUCCACCACCAUGUAUUAUGCCGCCAGUAUAUUUGUAAUUUUUGUUACUGUUUUUUUGUUAAUUAUUCAGUUUUUUUUUCAAGGUCAGUUAAUUAAUCAGUUAAUAGUGCUGCUGUUAAUGAUUUAGUUUAAUUAAUCAGUUAAUAAUGCUGCUGCUAAUGAUUUAAUUUUAAUAUAAUGAUGCUGUUAAUGAUUUGGUUUUGACUUUAAAUUUGAUUGGUGAAAAUUGGAUGGUUUAAGGCUAUGCACUUGCUUUGGAUAUGACUGCCAGAGAAAUUCAAGCUUCUGCUAAGAUUGCUAGGGGGCUGCACUCUGUGAGGGUCAUGUAUGUUUUAUUACGGUCAUAUCUAUAGUUUUGGGAACUGGAGAAAAUAAGUGGAACAAACCAUUUGCACGGCAGAGGC
Molecule: small RNA, 2055 nt
Filed under: Malus domestica (apple)
Lineage: Eukaryota; Viridiplantae; Streptophyta; Magnoliopsida; Rosales; Rosaceae
Description: sRNA MD15G0097300
Source: RNAcentral